AUACGUAGGUGGCAAGCGUUGUCCGGAAUUAUUGGGCGUAAAGCGCGCGCAGGCGGUCCCUUAAGUCUGAUGUGAAAGCCCCCGGCUUAACCGGGGAGGGUCAUUGGAAACUGGGGGACUUGAGUGCAGAAGAGAAGAGCGGAAUUCCACGUGUAGCGGUGAAAUGCGUAGAGAUGUGGAGGAACACCAGUGGCGAAGGCGGCUCUUUGGUCUGUAACUGACGCUGAGGCGCGAAAGCGUGGGGAGCAAACAGGAUUAGAUACCCUGGUAGUCCACGCCGUAAACGAUGAGUGCUAAGUGUUAGAGGGUUUCCGCCCUUUAGUGCUGCAGCUAACGCAUUAAGCACUCCGCCUGGGGAGUACGGCCGCAAGGCUGAA
This 377-nucleotide ribosomal RNA is filed under the name uncultured bacterium. RNAcentral describes it as "bacterial SSU rRNA". It matches the Rfam family "Bacterial small subunit ribosomal RNA", at positions 523 to 898 of the family's 1533-position model. The record is from RNAcentral.